AGACCAGAUAAAGCAUCAAGACUGGUGGUUCACACUGAGCUUAGGAGGAGGGAGCUUUCCAGCAUGAGAAAUGAGACAUGGCUGGCAGGAUGAUGGAGUGAUUAAGAUAGAAUCCCAAUACCAUGACAGAGGAAAAGAAGAUGAGCCUCUGAACACAACCUUAUCCUUGUGGAAAUCUCCAAGGGAAAGGGUAGAGGGAGAGUUCUGAUGCAAGUACUCAAAAGAGAAGACAAUGUGAAAACAGAACAGAGAGAUAUGCCAAGGAAUGCUGACCAUAAUCAGAAGCUAAAAGAGGCAAAGAACAGUCUCUCUCCUAGAGCCUCCAGA
This 327-nucleotide long non-coding RNA is filed under the name Homo sapiens (human). RNAcentral describes it as "HSALNT0368454". The record is from RNAcentral. Lineage: Eukaryota; Metazoa; Chordata; Mammalia; Primates; Hominidae.